UCCAAAGAGAAUACACAAACAAGAGCCCAGACGUAUGGAGGGGAAAACUAUUCUAUGUAUUCUCACGGUGCUUCUGCUGAUAGGAAAUUGCGCUCAUGCUGAGCGCAGCUGCAAAUUGCACCAAGGACAGCCAAUGACAUGGUGUAUAAAUGAACUUUGUACGAAAGACUGCAACAAAGACUACCAAGAACGUCGUGUCAAGAAGGCUUAUUGUACAGGCAUUUACCCCUUCACAAAAGUCUAUUGUGUCUGCAACGUCUGUGACUAGGAGACAAUGCAACAUCGCAUUACGAGGUUCAUUUACACAAAGGAUUAAUGAAGUUUGGCAAAAAUAAAAUUUGUCUGUGUAAACUUGUGAACAUGAUUACUGCCUAGUUAAUUUGUAACGUGGUUGUUUUUUGCGUAAACACCAUCAUGUUUUAUUCACAGAUUCCGUGUGCCUUCAUCCGCAGGAAAGAAACCUGGAAACAA
Molecule: long non-coding RNA, 471 nt
Organism: Hordeum vulgare subsp. vulgare (domesticated barley)
Lineage: Eukaryota; Viridiplantae; Streptophyta; Magnoliopsida; Poales; Poaceae
Exons: 2
Source: RefSeq, a predicted model, not a curated record